AGGGCUAUAGCUCAGUUAGGUAGAGCAACUCGUUUACACCGAGAAGGCUA
RNAcentral lists this transfer RNA (50 nucleotides) under Dipsacus sativus (Fuller's teasel). RNAcentral describes it as "partial transfer RNA-Val". It matches the Rfam family "tRNA", at positions 1 to 47 of the family's 71-position model. From Rfam's summary of the family: Transfer RNA (tRNA) molecules are approximately 80 nucleotides in length. Their secondary structure includes four short double-helical elements and three loops (D, anti-codon, and T loops). The record is from RNAcentral. Lineage: Eukaryota; Viridiplantae; Streptophyta; Magnoliopsida; Dipsacales; Caprifoliaceae.